This 252-nucleotide ribosomal RNA is filed under the name uncultured bacterium. RNAcentral describes it as "partial 16S ribosomal RNA". It matches the Rfam family "Bacterial small subunit ribosomal RNA", at positions 525 to 776 of the family's 1533-position model. The record is from RNAcentral.
ACAGAGGUGGCGAACGUUGUUCGGAUUUACUGGGCGUAAAGGGUCCGCAGGCGGUCUUGUGUGUCAGAUGUGAAAGCCCACAGCUUAACUGUGGAAUUGCAUUUGAAACUGCAGGACUAGAGUACUGGAGGGGAGAAGGGAACACUUGGUGUAGCGGUGAAAUGCGUAGAUAUCAAGUGGAACACCGGCGGCGAAGGCGCUUCUCUGGACAGAUACUGACGCUCAUGGACGAAAGUUAGGGUAGCGAAAGGG